CUCCUCUUGAUUCCUUACCCCUUGGACCUAAAUAAUUGUCUAAGAGGCCAAAAACGGGUGGAAAAGUAAAACUGAAGUGGACUGAAGUCUCAAGAGACUUACAAAUUCAUUUCAAACAUUA
RNAcentral lists this small nucleolar RNA (121 nucleotides) under Echinops telfairi (small Madagascar hedgehog). RNAcentral's name for it is "Small nucleolar RNA SNORA61 (ENSETEG00000025874.1)". The record is from RNAcentral. Lineage: Eukaryota; Metazoa; Chordata; Mammalia; Afrosoricida; Tenrecidae.